This 2509-nucleotide ribosomal RNA is filed under the name Escherichia coli. Its description in RNAcentral is "partial 23S ribosomal RNA". It matches the Rfam family "Bacterial large subunit ribosomal RNA", at positions 375 to 2867 of the family's 2925-position model. Lineage: Bacteria; Pseudomonadati; Pseudomonadota; Gammaproteobacteria; Enterobacterales; Enterobacteriaceae. The record is from RNAcentral.
GUACACAAAAAUGCACAUAUUGUGAGCUCGAUGAGUAGGGCGGGACACGUGGUAUCCUGUCUGAAUAUGGGGGGACCAUCCUCCAAGGCUAAAUACUCCUGACUGACCGAUAGUGAACCAGUACCGUGAGGGAAAGGCGAAAAGAACCCCGGCGAGGGGAGUGAAAAAGAACCUGAAACCGUGUACGUACAAGCAGUGGGAGCCUCUUUAUGGGGUGACUGCGUACCUUUUGUAUAAUGGGUCAGCGACUUAUAUUCUGUAGCAAGGUUAACCGAAUAGGGGAGCCGAAGGGAAACCGAGUCUUAACUGGGCGUUAAGUUGCAGGGUAUAGACCCGAAACCCGGUGAUCUAGCCAUGGGCAGGUUGAAGGUUGGGUAACACUAACUGGAGGACCGAACCGACUAAUGUUGAAAAAUUAGCGGAUGACUUGUGGCUGGGGGUGAAAGGCCAAUCAAACCGGGAGAUAGCUGGUUCUCCCCGAAAGCUAUUUAGGUAGCGCCUCGUGAAUUCAUCUCCGGGGGUAGAGCACUGUUUCGGCAAGGGGGUCAUCCCGACUUACCAACCCGAUGCAAACUGCGAAUACCGGAGAAUGUUAUCACGGGAGACACACGGCGGGUGCUAACGUCCGUCGUGAAGAGGGAAACAACCCAGACCGCCAGCUAAGGUCCCAAAGUCAUGGUUAAGUGGGAAACGAUGUGGGAAGGCCCAGACAGCCAGGAUGUUGGCUUAGAAGCAGCCAUCAUUUAAAGAAAGCGUAAUAGCUCACUGGUCGAGUCGGCCUGCGCGGAAGAUGUAACGGGGCUAAACCAUGCACCGAAGCUGCGGCAGCGACACUAUGUGUUGUUGGGUAGGGGAGCGUUCUGUAAGCCUGUGAAGGUGGCCUGUGAGGGUUGCUGGAGGUAUCAGAAGUGCGAAUGCUGACAUAAGUAACGAUAAAGCGGGUGAAAAGCCCGCUCGCCGGAAGACCAAGGGUUCCUGUCCAACGUUAAUCGGGGCAGGGUGAGUCGACCCCUAAGGCGAGGCCGAAAGGCGUAGUCGAUGGGAAACAGGUUAAUAUUCCUGUACUUGGUGUUACUGCGAAGGGGGGACGGAGAAGGCUAUGUUGGCCGGGCGACGGUUGUCCCGGUUUAAGCGUGUAGGCUGGUUUUCCAGGCAAAUCCGGAAAACCAAGGCUGAGGCGUGAUGACGAGGCACUACGGUGCUGAAGCGACAAAUGCCCUGCUUCCAGGAAAAGCCUCUAAGCAUCAGGUAACAUCAAAUCGUACCCCAAACCGACACAGGUGGUCAGGUAGAGAAUACCAAGGCGCUUGAGAGAACUCGGGUGAAGGAACUAGGCAAAAUGGUGCCGUAACUUCGGGAGAAGGCACGCUGAUAUGUAGGUGAAGCGACUUGCUCGUGGAGCUGAAAUCAGUCGAAGAUACCAGCUGGCUGCAACUGUUUAUUAAAAACACAGCACUGUGCAAACACGAAAGUGGACGUAUACGGUGUGACGCCUGCCCGGUGCCGGAAGGUUAAUUGAUGGGGUUAGCGGUAACGCGAAGCUCUUGAUCGAAGCCCCGGUAAACGGCGGCCGUAACUAUAACGGUCCUAAGGUAGCGAAAUUCCUUGUCGGGUAAGUUCCGACCUGCACGAAUGGCGUAAUGAUGGCCAGGCUGUCUCCACCCGAGACUCAGUGAAAUUGAACUCGCUGUGAAGAUGCAGUGUACCCGCGGCAAGACGGAAAGACCCCGUGAACCUUUACUAUAGCUUGACACUGAACAUUGAGCCUUGAUGUGUAGGAUAGGUGGGAGGCUUUGAAGUGUGGACGCCAGUCUGCAUGGAGCCGACCUUGAAAUACCACCCUUUAAUGUUUGAUGUUCUAACGUUGGCCCGUAAUCCGGGUUGCGGACAGUGUCUGGUGGGUAGUUUGACUGGGGCGGUCUCCUCCUAAAGAGUAACGGAGGAGCACGAAGGUUGGCUAAUCCUGGUCGGACAUCAGGAGGUUAGUGCAAUGGCAUAAGCCAGCUUGACUGCGAGCGUGACGGCGCGAGCAGGUGCGAAAGCAGGUCAUAGUGAUCCGGUGGUUCUGAAUGGAAGGGCCAUCGCUCAACGGAUAAAAGGUACUCCGGGGAUAACAGGCUGAUACCGCCCAAGAGUUCAUAUCGACGGCGGUGUUUGGCACCUCGAUGUCGGCUCAUCACAUCCUGGGGCUGAAGUAGGUCCCAAGGGUAUGGCUGUUCGCCAUUUAAAGUGGUACGCGAGCUGGGUUUAGAACGUCGUGAGACAGUUCGGUCCCUAUCUGCCGUGGGCGCUGGAGAACUGAGGGGGGCUGCUCCUAGUACGAGAGGACCGGAGUGGACGCAUCACUGGUGUUCGGGUUGUCAUGCCAAUGGCACUGCCCGGUAGCUAAAUGCGGAAGAGAUAAGUGCUGAAAGCAUCUAAGCACGAAACUUGCCCCGAGAUGAGUUCUCCCUGACUCCUUGAGAGUCCUGAAGGAACGUUGAAGACGACGACGUUGAUAGGCCGGGUG